This 359-nucleotide ribosomal RNA is filed under the name uncultured eukaryote. RNAcentral describes it as "partial 18S ribosomal RNA". It matches the Rfam family "Eukaryotic small subunit ribosomal RNA", at positions 592 to 975 of the family's 1831-position model. The record is from RNAcentral.
CAAUAGCAUAUAUUAAUGUUGUUGCAGUUGAAAAGCUCGUAGUUGAACUUUUGGUAGGAGCGACCUGGCCUUGGGCGCAUGCCCUUGUUUGCCGUGUGUCGUAUCUGGCCAUCCUUUUCCGUUUCGGCGGGAAUCUUUUACUGUGAGUAAACUGGAGUGCUCAAAACAAGACGUUUGUUUGGUACAUUAAAGCAUGGAAUAAUAAGAUAGGACCUGGUUACUAUUUUGUUGGUUUGCAUAGCUAGGUAAUGAUUAACAGGGACAGUUGGGGGUAUUCGUAUUUAAUUGUCAGAGGUGAAAUUCUCGGAUUUAUGAAAGACGAACGACUGCGAAAGCAUUUACCAAGGAUGUUUNCAUUA